GACGAACGCUGGCGGCGUGGAUUAGGCAUGCAAGUCGAACGGUAUCAUCCUUUCGGGGGUGAGAGAGUGGCGAACUGGUGAGUAACACGUAGGUUAUCUACCCUCAAGACGGGGACAACCCAGGGAAACUUGGGCUAAUACCGGAUGUGAGCAACUUUUAGUUGUUUGAAAGGUGGCGUAAGCUGUCGCUUGGGGAUGAGCCUGCGUCCUAUUAGUUAGUUGGUGAGGUAACGGCUCACCUAGGCAAUGAUAGGUAGGCGGCCUUAACGGGUGGUCGCCCACACUGGGAUUGAGAUACGGCCCAGACUCCUACGGGAGGCAGCAGUCGAGAAUAGUCUACAAUGGUCGGAAGACUGAUAGUGCGACGCCGCGUGAACGAUGAAUCCCUUCGGGGUGUAAAGUUCUUUUAUAUGUGAGCAGUGCUUCUUAUAUUAACGUAUGGGGAGAGAGAUAUUAGCAUAUGAAUAAGCAACGGCUAACUCCGUGCCCAGCAGCCGCGGUAAACUCG
This 508-nucleotide ribosomal RNA is filed under the name uncultured bacterium. RNAcentral describes it as "bacterial SSU rRNA". It matches the Rfam family "Bacterial small subunit ribosomal RNA", at positions 28 to 527 of the family's 1533-position model. The record is from RNAcentral.